This 429-nucleotide ribosomal RNA is filed under the name Gemmatimonadota bacterium. RNAcentral describes it as "Gemmatimonadetes bacterium partial 16S ribosomal RNA". It matches the Rfam family "Bacterial small subunit ribosomal RNA", at positions 355 to 776 of the family's 1533-position model. Lineage: Bacteria; Pseudomonadati; Gemmatimonadota. The record is from RNAcentral.
UAGGGAAUCUUCGGCAAUGGACGAAAGUCUGACCGAGCAACGCCGCGUGAGUGAAGAAGGUUUUCGGAUCGUAAAACUCUGUUGUUAGAGAAGAACAAGGACGUUAGUAACUGAACGUCCCCUGACGGUAUCUAACCAGAAAGCCACGGCUAACUACGUGCCAGCAGCCGCGGUAAUACGUAGGUGGCAAGCGUUGUCCGGAUUUAUUGGGCGUAAAGCGAGCGCAGGCGGUUUCUUAAGUCUGAUGUGAAAGCCCCCGGCUCAACCGGGGAGGGUCAUUGGAAAAUGGGGGCCUUGAGUGCAGAAGAGGAGAGUGGAAUUCCAUGUGUAGCGGUGAAAUGCGUAGAUAUAUGGAGGAACACCAGUGGCGAAGGCGGCUCUUUGGUCUGUAACUGACGCUGAGGCUCGAAAGCGUGGGGAGCAAACAGG